AUGAAGUCUGGCUCCGGAGGAGGGUCCCCGACCUCGCUGUGGGGGCUCCUGUUUCUCUCCGCCGCGCUCUCGCUCUGGCCGACGAGUGGAGAAAUCUGCGGGCCAGGCAUCGACAUCCGCAACGACUAUCAGCAGCUGAAGCGCCUGGAGAACUGCACGGUGAUCGAGGGCUACCUCCACAUCCUGCUCAUCUCCAAGGCCGAGGACUACCGCAGCUACCGCUUCCCCAAGCUCACGGUCAUUACCGAGUACUUGCUGCUGUUCCGAGUGGCUGGCCUCGAGAGCCUCGGAGACCUCUUCCCCAACCUCACGGUCAUCCGCGGCUGGAAACUCUUCUACAACUACGCCCUGGUCAUCUUCGAGAUGACCAAUCUCAAGGAUAUUGGGCUUUACAACCUGAGGAACAUUACUCGGGGGGCCAUCAGGAUUGAGAAAAAUGCUGACCUCUGUUACCUCUCCACUGUGGACUGGUCCCUGAUCCUGGAUGCGGUGUCCAAUAACUACAUUGUGGGGAAUAAGCCCCCAAAGGAAUGUGGGGACCUGUGUCCAGGGACCAUGGAGGAGAAGCCGAUGUGUGAGAAGACCACCAUCAACAAUGAGUACAACUACCGCUGCUGGACCACAAACCGCUGCCAGAAAAUGUGCCCGAGCACGUGUGGGAAGCGGGCGUGCACCGAGAACAACGAGUGCUGCCACCCCGAGUGCCUGGGCAGCUGCAGCGCGCCUGACAACGACACGGCCUGUGUAGCUUGCCGCCACUACUACUAUGCCGGUGUCUGUGUGCCUGCCUGCCCGCCCAACACCUACAGGUUUGAGGGCUGGCGCUGUGUGGACCGUGACUUCUGCGCCAACAUCCUCAGCGCCGAGAGCAGCGACUCCGAGGGGUUUGUGAUCCACGACGGCGAGUGCAUGCAGGAGUGCCCCUCGGGCUUCAUCCGCAACGGCAGCCAGAGCAUGUACUGCAUCCCUUGUGAAGGUCCUUGCCCGAAGGUCUGUGAGGAAGAAAAGAAAACAAAGACCAUUGAUUCUGUUACUUCUGCUCAGAUGCUCCAAGGAUGCACCAUCUUCAAGGGCAAUUUGCUCAUUAACAUCCGACGGGGGAAUAACAUUGCUUCAGAGCUGGAGAACUUCAUGGGGCUCAUCGAGGUGGUGACGGGCUACGUGAAGAUCCGCCAUUCUCAUGCCUUGGUCUCCUUGUCCUUCCUAAAAAACCUUCGCCUCAUCUUAGGAGAGGAGCAGCUAGAAGGGAAUUACUCCUUCUACGUCCUCGACAACCAGAACUUGCAGCAACUAUGGGACUGGGACCACCGCAACCUGACCAUCAAAGCAGGGAAAAUGUACUUUGCUUUCAAUCCCAAAUUAUGUGUUUCCGAAAUUUACCGCAUGGAGGAAGUGACGGGGACUAAAGGGCGCCAAAGCAAAGGGGACAUAAACACCAGGAACAACGGGGAGAGAGCCUCCUGUGAAAGUGACGUCCUGCAUUUCACCUCCACCACCACGUCGAAGAAUCGCAUCAUCAUAACCUGGCACCGGUACCGGCCCCCUGACUACAGGGAUCUCAUCAGCUUCACCGUUUACUACAAGGAAGCACCCUUUAAGAAUGUCACGGAGUAUGAUGGGCAGGACGCCUGCGGCUCCAACAGCUGGAACAUGGUGGACGUGGACCUCCCGCCCAACAAGGACGUGGAGCCCGGCAUCUUACUACAUGGGCUGAAGCCCUGGACUCAGUACGCCGUUUACGUCAAGGCUGUGACCCUCACCAUGGUGGAGAACGACCAUAUCCGUGGGGCCAAGAGUGAGAUCUUGUACAUUCGCACCAAUGCUUCAGUUCCUUCCAUUCCCUUGGACGUUCUUUCAGCAUCGAACUCCUCUUCUCAGUUAAUCGUGAAGUGGAACCCUCCCUCUCUGCCCAACGGCAACCUGAGUUACUACAUUGUGCGCUGGCAGCGGCAGCCUCAGGACGGCUACCUUUACCGGCACAAUUACUGCUCCAAAGACAAAAUCCCCAUCAGGAAGUAUGCCGACGGCACCAUCGACAUUGAGGAGGUCACAGAGAACCCCAAGACUGAGGUGUGUGGUGGGGAGAAAGGGCCUUGCUGCGCCUGCCCCAAAACUGAAGCCGAGAAGCAGGCCGAGAAGGAGGAGGCUGAAUACCGCAAAGUCUUUGAGAAUUUCCUGCACAACUCCAUCUUCGUGCCCAGGUACCCAGCUCAUGUGAAAUUUCAGUUGGCAAAACCCACUGCUCAGGCCGGUUCUGUUGCCUUUCUCCCCACCAGGUAG
This 2280-nucleotide small RNA is filed under the name Pan troglodytes (chimpanzee). Its description in RNAcentral is "retained intron". The record is from RNAcentral. Lineage: Eukaryota; Metazoa; Chordata; Mammalia; Primates; Hominidae.